This is a long non-coding RNA of Sceloporus undulatus (fence lizard), 371 nucleotides long. RefSeq lists it as uncharacterized. Lineage: Eukaryota; Metazoa; Chordata; Lepidosauria; Squamata; Phrynosomatidae. The record is from RefSeq and is a predicted model, not a curated record. The transcript has 3 exons.
ACUACUUCCGGCUCGCUGCCAUUCCCUCUCAGUGGUCCCCAAAACAGCCAAGUACAAUGCCAUACCAUCCAAUUGGACCAUCCGGAGUCACCACACUUUACAAAUAAAUAAUGAAUAAAGGCUGGAUGACCUUCUGGAGGCAAUAAUCCCAGGAUUGUUUCGAUUCUCAUAAGAUGGACAUGAAAAGCCCAGUACAUGAAAUAUGGAUACUUAGUGUAAAGAGCACAAGCAUUCCCUAAAGAUUAGCAUUUUGAGUGCACUGCCGAAAUUCACAAGGCUGUAAUCCAUGCGGAUAAAGGGAAUGUAUUUCUAUACCAUUUUCCAUCAUUCAUUAUUCAAUUUUUAAAGGGAGAAACACUGCAUCUAGAUUU